UUUGACUGAGCAAGAGGCCCAUCACGACAUGUCGUUUCAUCCGAAGCCCAGAUUGUUUUCUGGGGUUUUGGGGUCUUGAACCCUCGGCUUCCUCCUCCUCUUUCUCGUUUGCAAAUCUCUCAAAAUUCUCAACGUUUUUCCACCGUUGCCUGUGAUUUCGAUUGCGAAAUAGCGUGUAAACAUUGAGGAAUGGCAACCGAGGAAAAGGGAGAAGAAUUGCAACAAACCACAAGUCCCCAAGAUGCUGCCGGUUUGAGAGGAGCUGUGGAAGCAAAGUACCGGCAAAUCAAAGAGCAUGCAGAGACCUACCCUUAUGUUUGGGCUUCCUACAUUGUUGUAUACGGUGGUUUUGCUCUCUGGGGUACCUACAGAUGGAGAAGGCUUCGCAAGACUGAGGAUCGUGUACGUGCCCUUCAGGAGAGAUUACGCAAACAUUAUGCAGCAGAAGAGGCUUGUGCUAGCUCUUCCACCCCAGCUGUUAAGGUUCCACCAUCUGCUGAUAAAAUCUCCAACUAGUUAGAGCAUUGAUCAAUGCUUUUCAGGUUUCCUGCAACCCGAUAAACAAAAGUUUGCUUCAAGUAUGAACACAGAUUGCUUGGGACUUUCUAUGGACGAGAAUUGAAUCCAAAUGUGUCGUAUACGUAGGUUAGGGUGAAAUGUUAGUAAUUGAUACUUCUGAUCAAAACUUAUGUAAACAGCUUCUUAUGCUAAUUUUGUGACACUUGACAGUCAUUUUAUCCGA
Molecule: long non-coding RNA, 742 nt
Organism: Malus domestica (apple)
Lineage: Eukaryota; Viridiplantae; Streptophyta; Magnoliopsida; Rosales; Rosaceae
Source: RefSeq, a predicted model, not a curated record